AUCCCAGGAUAUCUGUAUACUUUGAAGAGGCCGGAGGGGGAGAGGGAGGAAAUGACACUCAGUACUUUUAAAUUAGGAUCAUGUAUGAGAGAAUGGAGAAAUUGGACUUUAACAUGUUAAAUUUAGAUAAAAGUAACAUUGCUAUAUCCUCAAUACAGUUGAAUAAAAUGUAUACUGAAUUUAACAAAAAAGGGAGAUUUCUCAAGAAAUAUCUUGGAUGAAAAUCUGAAAUAUUUGUAUGACUGUGUGAUUAUGCCUGGGCCUGAAAGUGUAACUGAGGUUGUUCUUUGCAGGACAGAGUUGGUGCAAAUGGAAAAGCCCCAGCCAGUGAACCCAGAACUCACUUCCUGGCACAUCACUGGAGUGUUAGAUAAGCUCAACAAAUUCAGAGCGGAUGAUCCUCUGAGUAAGGAAAAGGCGAAUCACUAUAUGAGCCUUUCUGAGGAUGUGAGAAAUGUGAUAUUUGGAGAUGACCAUGAUGGUGCACCCGGGGAGUCCCAGAGAGCAGAGAACUUUGCAGCAUGGGGAGCUCAGGCCUUCUCCUCCGGCAGGCAUAACUGGGAAGUGGAUGUAACCCACUCCCCCAACUGGAUUCUGGGAGUCUGUAAAGAUUCCAGGACAGCAAACACAAAUCACGUUCCGGCUUUUGAGGAAGGAUUUUUUCUAUUUUCUUCAAAGAGAAACAACCUUUAUAGCCUCUCCAACAUUUUUUUUCCCUUAACUCACUAUGUGCAGAGACCUUUGGGUCGGGUUGGGGUCUUUCUGGAUUAUGACAACACAGUUGCGAGCUUUUAUGAUGCUUCAAAAGGUUCCCUCAUAUACAGCUUUUUCCCUACCUCUUUUUCUUCCCUUUUGACACCUUUCUUUUGUUUUGGUUCCCCAUGAAAGUCAGGUUUCAUUAUGAUUUCUUAGUGAGCUUUCUUGCCUGAAAAAUCUUCUAAUCUCGAGACCUUCUCAUGUGAGACAAUAGGACAAUGUAUGAGCAUCUUUGAGUUCACUGUAACUUGAGGAAACAAAAUUAUUAUCUGGGUAUGAAAUGGGAUAACCACAUUGACAUUAUACAUUUGUUUCUUAAAUUUUACUUUAAUAAAGAGUUGUGAAAAAC
This is a long non-coding RNA of Homo sapiens (human), 1105 nucleotides long. The record is from Ensembl. NCBI's taxonomy places the organism in Eukaryota, Metazoa, Chordata, Mammalia, Primates, Hominidae.